Molecule: transfer RNA, 84 nt
Filed under: Candidatus Colwelliibacteriota bacterium
Lineage: Bacteria; Candidatus Colwelliibacteriota
Description: tRNA-Leu
Rfam family: tRNA
About the family: Transfer RNA (tRNA) molecules are approximately 80 nucleotides in length. Their secondary structure includes four short double-helical elements and three loops (D, anti-codon, and T loops).
Source: RNAcentral
GCGCGGGUGGUGAAAUUGGUAGACACGCCACUUUGAGGGGGUGGUGCCCGCAAGGGCUUGGAGGUUCGAGUCCUCUCCCGCGCA